GAUGAACGCUGGCGGCGUGCCUAAUACAUGCAAGUCGAGCGAACGGACGAGAAGCUUGCUUCUCUGAUGUUAGCGGCGGACGGGUGAGUAACACGUGGAUAACCUACCUAUAAGACUGGGAUAACUUCGGGAAACCGGAGCUAAUACCGGAUAAUAUUUUGAACCGCAUGGUUCAAAAGUGAAAGACGGUCUUGCUGUCACUUAUAGAUGGAUCCGCGCUGCAUUAGCUAGUUGGCAAGGUAACGGCUUACCAAGGCAACGAUGCAUAGCCGACCUGAGAGGGUGAUCGGCCACACUGGAACUGAGACACGGUCCAGACUCCCACGGGAGGCAGCAGUAGGGAAUCUUCCGCAAUGGGCGAAAGCCUGACGGAGCAACGCCGCGUGAGUGAUGAAGGUCUUCGGAUCGUAAAACUCUGUUAUUAGGGAAGAACAUAUGUGUAAGUAACUGUGCACAUCUUGACGGUACCUAAUCAGAAAGCCACGGCUAACUACGUG
RNAcentral lists this ribosomal RNA (497 nucleotides) under uncultured bacterium. Its description in RNAcentral is "partial 16S ribosomal RNA". It matches the Rfam family "Bacterial small subunit ribosomal RNA", at positions 28 to 507 of the family's 1533-position model. The record is from RNAcentral.